Telopea speciosissima is the source of this 359-nucleotide long non-coding RNA. RefSeq lists it as uncharacterized. The record is from RefSeq and is a predicted model, not a curated record. Lineage: Eukaryota; Viridiplantae; Streptophyta; Magnoliopsida; Proteales; Proteaceae. The transcript is spliced from 3 exons.
AAAUUUGCUGAUAAAUUUGAGAAGCAACUACCUCACAUGUUCCACCGAAAGUUGUUCCUGAUUUUCUUGACAGUUCUUCAUUUGUUUCUUCUGAUUUGUAUGAAUUCUUUCAGUCAUCUCUUCCUAAUAUAGUGAAAGGCUGCCAAUGGGUCCUGCUGUAUAGGGCAGUACGUUAAAACAUGGAAUAUCACUGAGUACACUUCUAGGUAAGAGUGCUGAUCUUUCUGGUCCUUGUUUGCUGAUCGUUGGUGAUAUGGAAGGUGCUGUGUUUGGUGGGUUGUUGGAAUGUCCCCUAAAACCUACCACAAAAAGAAAAUAUCAAGUAAGUUAGCACAGUCUUCUUGUUCUAAGUUGAGAUU